GGCUGUGGCUCAGUGGCAGAGCAUCUGCUUGACAUACAGAAGGCCCUGGGUUCAAUUCCUGGCAUCGCCA
This is a non-coding RNA of Heteronotia binoei (common prickly gecko), 70 nucleotides long. The record is from the annotation of a RefSeq genome assembly. NCBI's taxonomy places the organism in Eukaryota, Metazoa, Chordata, Lepidosauria, Squamata, Gekkonidae.